RNAcentral lists this ribosomal RNA (400 nucleotides) under uncultured bacterium. Its description in RNAcentral is "bacterial SSU rRNA". It matches the Rfam family "Bacterial small subunit ribosomal RNA", at positions 355 to 771 of the family's 1533-position model. The record is from RNAcentral.
UAGGGAAUUUUCCACAAUGGGCGAAAGCCUGAUGGAGCAACGCCGCGUGCAGGAUGAAUGCCUUCGGGUUGUAAACUGCUUUUAUUAGUGAAGAAUAUGACGGUAACUAAUGAAUAAGGGUCGGCUAACUACGUGCCAGCAGCCGCGGUCAUACGUAGGACCCAAGCGUUAUCCGGAAUUACUGGGCGUAAAGAGUUGCGUAGGUGGCAUAAUAAGUGAAGCGUGAAAGCGUGCGGCUCAACCGCAUAUCCGCGUUUCAAACUAUUAGGCUUGAGUAUGAGAGAGGUAGAUGGAAUUUCUAGUGUAGGAGUGAAAUCCGUAGAUAUUAGAAGGAACACCGAUGGCGUAGGCAGUCUACUGGCUCAUUACUGACACUAAGGCACGAAAGCGUGGGGAGCAA